RNAcentral lists this long non-coding RNA (417 nucleotides) under Helianthus annuus (common sunflower). RNAcentral describes it as "hypothetical non coding rna". The record is from RNAcentral. Lineage: Eukaryota; Viridiplantae; Streptophyta; Magnoliopsida; Asterales; Asteraceae.
UUGUGGAAGCAUAUUCAAACCCGUCGUUCCAUCCAAAACGAGUAAAAUUUCCUGUGCACCAUUAACAAUUUUAGCAAUGGCCUUUUUGCACGCAAUCAGUUCUUCCAUCAAGCUAUAAUUAGUAUGCAGACCUAUAAGACAUAAAAAUAACCAGAAAAACUGUCGGUGUGAGUGAACAUCAAAUGAAGUGAAAAUUCAAGUAAUUUUGUUGACCAACAUCAUGUCUUACGUCCAGAGGUGUCACAUAACACGAUAUCGAAGCCCUGUUCUUUCCCUUUCUUAACGGCCUGUGAUAGAACUACUCAAAAAGAACUUCAAGAUCACAUGUUAGUAAUAGUAGCUGCCGUAAAACUGAUACAAUCUCGCAGCCUGUUCUUUCGGCCCAAAUUUCCAGUUGGUCACUCGCAGCAGCCCUGA